GCAGCCACCUUUUUAAAAGCGUUAAAGCUUAGCCUUAAAUUCUCCAAAGAUACCAUAAAACUCAAUGAACCCUUAAUUCAUAAUGAAUGACUCCAUAUAAUUAUGGAAGACACCAUGCUGGGAUUAGUAACAAGAAUUAAUAAUUCUCCAAAAUGCAAACAUAAACCAAUACGGAUAAACCAUUGGUAAUUACCGCACUUGAACUUACUGCAACAACACCUACAAGAAAACCCUGCAGUAUUCACUCGUUAACCUGACACCAGAGCAUUUAAGGAAAGAUUUAAAGAAAGAGAAGGAAUUCGGCAAAUAACGACCCCGCCUGUUUACCAAAAACAUCGCCUCUUGAUUCAUGAUAAGAGGUCUAGCCUGCCCAGUGAAUUUUUAACGGCCGCGGUAUCCUGACCACGCGAAGGUAGCAUAAUCACUUGUUCUUUAAAUGGGGACUUGUAUCAACGGCAUCACGAGGGUUUUACUGUCUCCUCUUUCUAAUCAGUGAAAUUGAUCUUCCCGUGAAGAAGCGGGAAUUCCCAUAUAAGACGAGAAGACCCCAUGGAGCUUUAAACCAAAUAGCAACUUAACCACAUAUCCCCUAAUAAUUUUAAGCUCAUGCCGUAAGGUUUUUGGUUGGGGUGACCGCGGAGUAAAACAUAUCCUCCACGACGGAAAGACCACAAUCUUUAUUUAAGAGCGACAGUUCUAAAAAUUAGCACACUAACGUUUACUGACCCGAUAUUCGAUCAACGGAACAAGUUACCCUGGGGAUAACAGCGCAAUCUACUUUGAGAGCUCAUAUCGACAAGUAGGCUUACGACCUCGAUGUUGGAUCAGGGUAUCCUAGUGGUGCAGCCGCUACUGAGGGUUCGUUUGUUCAACGAUUAAAACCCUACGUGAUCU
RNAcentral lists this ribosomal RNA (894 nucleotides) under Polypedates macrotis (Baram whipping frog). Its description in RNAcentral is "partial 16S ribosomal RNA". It matches the Rfam family "Bacterial large subunit ribosomal RNA", at positions 1112 to 2606 of the family's 2925-position model. The record is from RNAcentral. Lineage: Eukaryota; Metazoa; Chordata; Amphibia; Anura; Rhacophoridae.